RNAcentral lists this ribosomal RNA (468 nucleotides) under uncultured bacterium. RNAcentral's name for it is "partial 16S ribosomal RNA". It matches the Rfam family "Bacterial small subunit ribosomal RNA", at positions 28 to 507 of the family's 1533-position model. The record is from RNAcentral.
GACGAACGCUGGCGGCGUGCUUAACACAUGCAAGUCGAACGGAAAGGCCCUGCUUUUGUGGGGUGCUCGAGUGGCGAACGGGUGAGUAACACGUGAGUAACCUGCCCUUGACUUUGGGAUAACUUCAGGAAACUGGGGCUAAUACCGGAUAGGAGCUCCUGCUGCAUGGUGGGGGUUGGAAAGUUUCGGCGGUUGAGGAUGGACUCGCGGCUUAUCAGCUUGUUGGUGGGGUAGUGGCUUACCAAGGCUUUGACGGGUAGCCGGCCUGAGAGGGUGACCGGCCACAUUGGGAAUGAGAUACGGCCCAGACUCCUACGGGAGGCAGCAGUGGGGAAUAUUGCACAAUGGGCGGAAGCCUGAUGCAGCAACGCCGCGUGCGGGAUGACGGCCUUCGGGUUGUAAACCGCUUUCGCCUGUGACGAAGCGUGAGUGACGGUAAUGGGUAAAGAAGCACCGGCUAACUACGUG